RNAcentral lists this ribosomal RNA (253 nucleotides) under uncultured bacterium. Its description in RNAcentral is "partial 16S ribosomal RNA". It matches the Rfam family "Bacterial small subunit ribosomal RNA", at positions 524 to 776 of the family's 1533-position model. The record is from RNAcentral.
GACAGAGGGUGCAAGCGUUGUUCGGAAUCAUUGGGCGUAAAGGGCGCGUAGGCGGCUUUGUAAGUCGGAUGUGAAAUCCCAGGGCUCAACCGUGGAAGUGCAUCCGAAACUACUUAGCUCGAGUCCCGGAGAGGGUGGUGGAAUUCCCAGUGUAGAGGUGAAAUUCGUAGAUAUCAAGCGGAACACCGGUGGCGAAGGCGGCCUUCUGGACAGUGACUGACGCUGAGACGCGAAAGCGUGGGGAGCAAACAGG